AACGAACGCUGGCGGCAUGCCUAACACAUGCGGGUCGAACGAGAUCUUCGGGUCUAGUGGCGCACGGGUGCGUAACGCGUGGGAAUCUGCCCUUUGGUUCGGAAUAACAGUUGGAAACGACUGCUAAUACCGGAUGAUGACGAAAGUCCAAAGAUUUAUCGCCAGAGGAUGAGCCCGCGUAGGAUUAGCUAGUUGGUGUGGUAAAGGCGCACCAAGGCGACGAUCCUUAGCUGGUCUGAGAGGAUGAUCAGCCACACUGGGACUGAGACACGGCCCAGACUCCUACGGGAGGCAGCAGUGGGGAAUAUUGGACAAUGGGCGAAAGCCUGAUCCAGCAAUGCCGCGUGAGUGAUGAAGGCCUUAGGGUUGUAAAGCUCUUUUACCCGGGAUGAUAAUGACAGUACCGGGAGAAUAAGCUCCGGCUAACUCCGUGCCAGCCGCCGCAGUAA
RNAcentral lists this ribosomal RNA (449 nucleotides) under uncultured bacterium. RNAcentral's name for it is "partial 16S ribosomal RNA". It matches the Rfam family "Bacterial small subunit ribosomal RNA", at positions 29 to 523 of the family's 1533-position model. The record is from RNAcentral.